UAUAUUGUAAUGCAUUAAAAUGUUUAAAAUAAUACUUUUAUUCAUGCUGUUGACAAUGUAAUAUGCAAAUUAGUGUUUCACUUAUACACUCAUCUACGUUUUCAUUCUGUCUUAUAACUUGAAACUACCAUGCCCAGAACUAAGCACAUUACUAGUGAGGAGGUUUGUAAAAUAUGGAAAUAUAGAUCGGAAGUGCUAAAUCAGACUGAAAUUGCUAAAAGAAUUGGAAGGAUACAACAAGCAAUCUCCAAAGUACUGGAAAAAGAUGGAAAUUUCAGUAAUAAACCAAGAUCUGGGAGACUGAAAGCAACAACGGCAAGGAUGGACAGAAAAAUAUUCCAUUUAGCUUCAACUCAAAU
This 359-nucleotide long non-coding RNA is filed under the name Androctonus crassicauda. The record is from RNAcentral. Lineage: Eukaryota; Metazoa; Arthropoda; Arachnida; Scorpiones; Buthidae.